This 687-nucleotide ribosomal RNA is filed under the name uncultured bacterium. RNAcentral describes it as "bacterial SSU rRNA". It matches the Rfam family "Bacterial small subunit ribosomal RNA", at positions 61 to 746 of the family's 1533-position model. The record is from RNAcentral.
GUCGAGGGGUACAGGAUUUUCGGAUCGCUGACGACCGGCGCACGGGUGAGUAACGCGUAUGCAACCUACCCGUAGCUGAGGGAUAGCCCGAAGAAAUUCGGAUUAAUACUUCAUAAUAUUAUUGAAACGCAUGUUUCGAUAAUUAAAGUUUCGGCGGCUACGGAUGGGCAUGCGUGACAUUAGCUUGUUGGUGAGGUAAUAGCUCACCAAGGCAACGAUGUCUAGGGGGUCUUAAAGGAUGAUCCCCCACACUGGUACUGAGACACGGACCAGACUCCUACGGGAGGCAGCAGUGGGGAAUAUUGGUCAAUGGGCGCAAGCCUGAACCAGCCAUUCCGCGUGCAGGAUGAAUGCCCUAUGGGUUGUAAACUGCUUUUAUACAAGAAGAAACCUUUGUACGUGUACAAAGCUGACGGUACUGUAUGAAUAAGCAUCGGCUAACUCCGUGCCAGCAGCCGCGGUAAUACGGAGGAUGCAAGCGUUAUCCGGAUUUAUUAGGUCUAAAGGGUGCGUAGGCGGAUAAUUAAGUCAGUGGUGAAAUCCUGCAGCUUAACUGUAGAACUGCCAUUGAUACUGAUUGUCUUGAGUUUAGUUGAGGUAGGCGGAAUGUGUGGUGUAGCGNNGAAAUGCUUANAGAUCACNCAGAACCCCGAUUGCGAAGGCAGCUUACUAAGCUAACACUGACGC